GACGAACGCUGGCGGCGUGCUUAACACAUGCAAGUCGAACGGAAAGGCCUCUUUCGGGGGUACUCGAGUGGCGAACGGGUGAGUAACACGUGAGUAACCUGCCCUUGACUUUGGGAUAACUUCAGGAAACUGGGGCUAAUACCGGAUAGGAGCUCCUGCUGCAUGGUGGGGGUUGGAAAGUUUCGGCGGUUGGGGAUGGACUCGCGGCUUAUCAGCUUGUUGGUGGGGUAGUGGCUUACCAAGGCUUUGAAGGGUAGCCGGCCUGAGAGGGUGACCGGCCACAUUGGGACUGAGAUACGGCCCAGACUCCUACGGGAGGCAGCAGUGGGGAAUAUUGCACAAGGGGUGGAAGCCUGAUGCAGCAACGCCGUGUGCGGGAUGACGGCCUUCGGGUUGUAAACCGCUUUCGCUCAUGACGAAGCUUUGUGUGACGGUAGUGGGUAAAGAAGCACCGGCUAACUACGUG
RNAcentral lists this ribosomal RNA (466 nucleotides) under uncultured bacterium. RNAcentral describes it as "partial 16S ribosomal RNA". It matches the Rfam family "Bacterial small subunit ribosomal RNA", at positions 28 to 507 of the family's 1533-position model. The record is from RNAcentral.